GAUGAACGCUGGCGGCGUGCCUAAUACAUGCAAGUCGAGCGAACGGACGAGAAGCUUGCUUCUCUGAUGUUAGCGGCGGACGGGUGAGUAACACGUGGAUAACCUACCUAUAAGACUGGGAUAACUUCGGGAAACCGGAGCUACUACCGGAUAAUAUUUUGAACCGCAUGGUUCAAAAGUGAAAGACGGUCUUGCUGUCACUUAUAGAUGGAUACGCGCUGCAUUAGCUAGUUGGUAAGGUAACGGCUUACCAAGGCAACGAUGCAUAGCCGACCUGAGAGGGUGAUCGGCCACACUGGAACUGAGACACGGUCCAGACUCCUACGGGAGGCAGCAGUAGGGAAUCUUCCGCAAUGGGCGAAAGCCUGACGGAGCAACGCCGCGUGAGUGAUGAAGGUCUUCGGAUCGUAAAACUCUGUUAUUAGGGAAGAACAUAUGUGUAAGUAACUGUGCACAUCUUGACGGUACCUAAUCAGAAAGCCACGGCUAACUACGUG
This 497-nucleotide ribosomal RNA is filed under the name uncultured bacterium. Its description in RNAcentral is "partial 16S ribosomal RNA". It matches the Rfam family "Bacterial small subunit ribosomal RNA", at positions 28 to 507 of the family's 1533-position model. The record is from RNAcentral.